GCCAUAGCAUUGCUUAUACAUCAGGAAGGAAGAUACAACACUGAUAUCAAUAGUAAAUAUACACCGUUAAAUUAAACCCAGUUUGAUGUGCUAGUUUGAUCAUAGUAUUAAAGGGGAAUGGAAACACUUAAGGAAGUGAAUCAAAGCAAAGAUAUGUAUUCAAUCCACUAAUACUAAACAUGUGCAUUUAACAUAAAAAAACAUAUCUAUAUUUAUUAUUUUGAUCGUCGACAAAGUUUAUUUGAGCUAUGGUCAGCGCCAUUUUAAAUUUCCAUAGUAACGACUGACACCAGUGCGUCCCUGGCAGGAAUCAGCUCAUUGUCUGUGGUAUCGAAGAGAGUGAGGUUAGGGGCGGACAACAACAAAUAGUACGUCAUAACAUGAAUUGUAUAGCGCCAGGCUGUAUGAAUUGUCUCCAAAAAUAUCCCUCGGUAAACUACCACAUAGGCUGCCCAAAGACACGCAGCUUUUGAAGAAGUGGCUCCAUGUCCUGAAGAGGAAGGAUGUGCCAGCUCGAACUCACAGGAUCUGCAUACAGCAAUUCGCGGAGGCAGACUUCACGAUGAAGGGCACUUUCGAUGCGGCAACCGGGAGUUUCCGAAUGGAAACUAGGCCUACGUUGAAGCUGUCUGCUUACGCCUCCGUUGAACAUUUCGAGGGUUAUGGUGUAGGGGUUGCCGACCGAGCAUCAUCGCUGACUUCGGAGUCGAGCAAAAGCGACUGAACGGAGGCGACGCGAGUCAAUGCAAUUAGGCCUGAAGUAACGUUAACCGGUCAUGACUGUUGUUGACUAGGCCAGCGUUAGACACUGGAUAACUUUGUUGCAAUUAAAAGGAUGACAUCCCUGAAAAGGUUUUCAUCCUGGAGGAGACUGUUCAGGAGGAGGAAAGAACGGUUAGUACAGCCUGCCAAACUGACCCCUGGGUGCCAGAGUGUCCCUGUGCUGCGGUGGAGAAGAGAACCGGGACACUCACUAAAGAGGUCCACCGGGACCCUCACUAACCACCGGGACCCUCACUAAAGAGGUCCACCGGGACCCUCACUAACCACCGGUACCCUCACUAACCACCGGGACCCUCACUAAAGAGGUCCACCGGGACCCUCACUAAAGAGGUCCACCGGGACCCUCACUAAAGAGGUCCACCGGGACCCUCACUAAAGAGGUCCGGGGCUCAGCUAGAUUGAGCUCACGUCCAUCAGUACAACCGAGUGCUGACCCUAUACACCACAGAUGGAGAUGACGGAGAGAGAUCAGUGAAGACCAGGACUACACCACAGAUGGAGCUGACGGAGAGAGAUCAGUGAAGACCAGGACUCGCUGUAUGAAUGUGAGAGCUCAGAAUCACAAUCAACACAGUGCCCGUAUAACAGUUUAACUUUAGUCCGUCCCCUCGCCCCGGGCGCGAACCAGGGACCCUCUGCACACAUCAACAACAGUCACCCACGAAGCAUCGUUACCCAUUGCUCCACAAAAGCCGAGGGCCCUUGCAGAGCAAAGGGAACCACUACUUCAAGGUCUCAAAGCGAGUGACGUCACCGAUUGAAACGCUAUUAGCGCGCACCACCGCUAACUAGCUAGCCAUUUCACAUCGGUUACACGAGCCAAGAUAUACUAUCGAUCACUUUGGGGGAGCGGGAUGGUGUUCUGAAAAUGGAGAAGGAGCAGGCCAUUCAUCAGCGAGUUCAAAAGAUACACCCAUCCAUAAAGGGAAUCAGAGUGGAAUUGUUUUUCCACAGAUGUUGUAUUUUUUUUAUCCGUCUCAAUGGAUGUGCUACCUUGUCCCGGUUCUGCUGUUUCGACUCUCUCUCUCUCAACCUGAAUGCUCAGCUAUGAAAAGCCAACUGACAUUUGCUCCUGAGGUGUUGAACUGUUGCACCCUCUAUAACCACUGUGGUUGUUAUUUUGAUGUAAUAAGUUAUUUUUGUAAAAAUACAUUUGAUUGAUUACUA
This is a long non-coding RNA of Salvelinus fontinalis (brook trout), 1950 nucleotides long. RefSeq lists it as uncharacterized. The record is from RefSeq and is a predicted model, not a curated record. Lineage: Eukaryota; Metazoa; Chordata; Actinopteri; Salmoniformes; Salmonidae. The transcript is spliced from 3 exons.